This 429-nucleotide ribosomal RNA is filed under the name Actinomycetes bacterium. Its description in RNAcentral is "Actinobacteria bacterium partial 16S ribosomal RNA". It matches the Rfam family "Bacterial small subunit ribosomal RNA", at positions 355 to 776 of the family's 1533-position model. Lineage: Bacteria; Bacillati; Actinomycetota; Actinomycetes. The record is from RNAcentral.
UAGGGAAUCUUCCGCAAUGGGCGAAAGCUUGACGGAGCAACGCCGCGUGAGUGAUGAAGGUCUUCGGAUCGUAAAACUCUGUUAUUAGGGAAGAACAAAUGUGUAAGUAACUAUGCACGUCUUGACGGUACCUAAUCAGAAAGCCACGGCUAACUACGUGCCAGCGGCCGCGGUAAUACGUAGGUGGCAAGCGUUAUCCGGAAUUAUUGGGCGUAAAGCGCGCGUAGGCGGUUUUUUAAGUCUGAUGUGAAAGCCCACGGCUCAACCGUGGAGGGUCAUUGGAAACUGGAAAACUUGAGUGCAGAAGAGGAAAGUGGAAUUCCAUGUGUAGCGGUGAAAUGCGCAGAGAUAUGGAGGAACACCAGUGGCGAAGGCGACUUUCUGGUCUGUAACUGACGCUGAUGUGCGAAAGCGUGGGGAUCAAACAGG